GGAUGUGAGGGCGAUCUGGCAGUGACAUCUGUCACCCGAUUGAUCUCCAGGGUUGACUCGGCUGAUCUGGCUGGCGAGGCAGGAGUCCCCUUCCUCCCUCACCACUCCGUGUGCGUCCCUCCCGAAGCUGCCUGCUAGGUUGAAGAGGACGGCCAUCCCCGAUAGAGGAGGACCAGUCUUCAGUCAAGGGUAUACGAGUAGCUGUGCUCCCCUGCUAGAACCUCCAAACAAGCUCUCAAGGUUUACAGUAACUAGCAAGAACCCAUGCUGGAGAUGUGGCUCAAGUGGUGGAGUGCAAUAU
Unclassified non-coding RNA from Dipodomys ordii (Ord's kangaroo rat), 301 nucleotides. Its record names the gene 7SK. It matches the Rfam family "7SK RNA". From Rfam's summary of the family: 7SK was discovered as an abundant small nuclear RNA in the mid-70s but a possible function has only recently been suggested. Two independent studies have found that 7SK RNA binds the CDK9/cyclin T complex (known as elongation factor P-TEFb). P-TEFb activates transcription by phosphorylating the C-terminal domain of RNA polymerase II. Lineage: Eukaryota; Metazoa; Chordata; Mammalia; Rodentia; Heteromyidae. The record is from Ensembl.